CAUGGUAAUACACGGGGCCGCUGAGGCGCUCUCCGUGACAGAUGGCUGGUAGGUUGCAUGUCAUCGUGUAGUGUGAUUCUCCGGGAUACUUAUCCUUUCAGAAUCAUAUACAAUCAUCAAUACAAGUUGAUUCUAUCUGGAAAAUUAUGCAGUUUGAGGCCUCACCUUUCUGAGCAUAGUGUUGGGCAGCUUGCGGAUCUUCUCCACAUGUUCUGCGCUGAUGUCCAGCUCGCGGCAGCACACACGGAGGAGGGCACGGAAAAGCGCUGGUGAAAAAGAAGGGCUGGAAGGCCGGCAUGGAGCCACCGAGCUGAGAGCAGUUGAUCUGCUGCGGG
Long non-coding RNA from Sinocyclocheilus grahami, 335 nucleotides. RefSeq lists it as uncharacterized. The record is from RefSeq and is a predicted model, not a curated record. The transcript has 3 exons. Lineage: Eukaryota; Metazoa; Chordata; Actinopteri; Cypriniformes; Cyprinidae.